AAAACACACAACACUUCUCUCUUUCUCCCUCACAUUCUCUCAUCGGUCCCCACUCCUCACCACCACCUCCACCAUCUUUUCUGGCAAAGUUUACCAGAAAACUCCACAGGAAAAGAGCUAAGACUCACUCGUCUCUAUUAUUUGAGGUGUGAUUACCCAGCCAGAUGCCACAAUCUUUGUGACAUAGGUAUCUUGGCACCCCGUCUUUGUGACGAAUUGAUGUCUUUGUGGCAUGAUUGAUGUCUUUGUGGCAUAUUUGAUGUUUUUGUGGCAUAAUUGAUGUAUUCAUGGCAUAUUUGAUGUCUUCGUAGCAUAACUUGAUGUCUUUGUGGAUACCUUACGUCUUUAUGACUGCUUGUCUUGUGACCUUGUGUAAUCCAUUUGGAGUUUUGUAAUAUAUUCAUGUAUUACAUGGAGACACAUGAUUUUUAGUUAUUGUUUGUAAAUGUGCCAUUGAGCUUUGACUUUUAAUGUGGAGAUUUUAGUAUGGUUAUAUACUCUUAUCACGUGGAAAAGAAAAAGAAAAAGAAAAAUCUCCUAUAGUUUCUCUCUUGAUGGUUCUUUUCUCAUGCUUUGGACCCUCUUGGGUUUGGGGCGUGACAUUUAUGGUUCUCUCUCUCUCUCUCUCUAACGGUGGUUGAAGACUUCCUCUCUUAAGCUUUGGCCAUGGGUGAAACUCAUGUUUCCAUUACCAUCUUGCACUCUCUUUGAAUCAAUGCCAUAAAGAUAAUUGGCUAGGGAUUUUCAAGAUUUUCCUCACCAUUGCUGCUGUUAUUCCUUGUUGUAGGCUCUGAUUGAGUGUUACUGACACUAGCUUUGGUGUUCCUUAGUUAUGGAUAAGAAUGUUUGUAUUUAUGUUUCUUUUUUUUUUUUGUUUGGGUUUGGGUUUUAGUUUGUGUUCGAAAUCCACAAGCUCUGCCACCACCGCAAGUGACAAAUCAUACUAGUAAUGCCACCAAUAGUGGCCGCCAGUAUUUCUACUCUUUUUUUGUUAGUUUGUUAUUGGUUGAUUUAGGUUGGGUUUUAUCAUGGUGAUAAGGAUUUGUUGAUUUUUUAUUUGGGUUUGAAAGGUGGGGUUUGGGUAUGGUCAUUUAUGGAUUUGUGGGUGUUUUUUGAUUUGGGCUUCGUCUCAAAAUGAGUCUAAUAUGGUGUUUUUUUUUUUUUUUUUUUUGGGUGUAUGUAUGAUUAUGAAUAUAUGUGUAUACUUUGUAAUCGUUAUUUUUGGGGGUUUAAGGUUUUGUGUGUGUGUGUUUGUGUUCUAUGACAUGCUGCAGCUGUGAAGUGUGAUUUGUGCUCAAAAUGCAUGCGUAUAGCAACUUAAUCAUAGUGAAUAGAACUCAAUAAGAUUUUAGCAUGAACAUAAUCAUUUAGUAAAGAUGAGGGUUUGCAAGAAAAGAGAUAGAAGAGAGGUUAAGAAUAAGUAAAUGGCUAAGAGCAUUUCCAGCAAAUUCAUCAAAUUUUUGUAUUGUUUAGAGAAUAAACAAUGACUUUUAUUUAUAUUUACUCACUUUUUCAAAUACACUUUUCAACAGAUUCUCUAUCACAUUCUUUAUCUCAUUUAAAUAUUAUUUAUUCAUUCAUUAUUUAUUUAUUUUUUAACAAUUACACAUCUUCCAACAUUUUUUUAUUCAACACUUGAUUAUUAUAAUAGAAAAAAAAAAUUUUGAAGAAUGAACAGUAGCCCAUCAGACUUGAUGAGCUACUGUUCAUGAGCCCAAAAAAAUUUUGGGUAUAAAGAAUCCAUUGGCGUGGCUUUUUUUUGUCUCAUUUUCUAUUAUAGAGAAUAUUUUGCUUUUGCAUAGACCAUUGGAGAUGCUCUAAUAGUGUUUAGGGACCAAGUUAGUCACUUUUGAAAAGUGUUGGUCUUAGUUGGCAUUAGUUCAAAUCUGAAGGUAAUUUACUAAAAUUUACCCAAAAAAGAAAUAAAGGUAUAAUUUGAAUUUUUGCCUAACUAAAAAUGGAUUGAAUUGUUAUGUAAUGAAUUGAAAGAAUUUAUGUUUUAUUGGGGAUAACCUCCAUUCAUUUUUUUUUUUCAAUUUUUGGGAGAGAAACCUCCAUCCAAGAUGGUGGAAGUUACAACAUUGUUUUUUUAGAAUCAUGUUAGAAAGAAGUUAGAAUAACCGAAUUAAUAUGCGAACUUUUGUUUUAAAAAAAGAAGCCCAAAAUUUUUCCGAAACAAACAAAAAUAUUCCACGAACUGUUAUAUUUUAUUUUUUUUUAAAAAAAUUCACGAACUGUAUAUAAUAUAUAUCAUCUAGUAUUGGAUAGAAUGACCUGUAAUGAACGGCCUAAUCAAUAUCCAAAUAGUCAAUGACUCAGUAUUAU
Molecule: long non-coding RNA, 2325 nt
Organism: Quercus robur (English oak)
Lineage: Eukaryota; Viridiplantae; Streptophyta; Magnoliopsida; Fagales; Fagaceae
Exons: 2
Source: RefSeq, a predicted model, not a curated record